RNAcentral lists this ribosomal RNA (396 nucleotides) under uncultured bacterium. RNAcentral's name for it is "bacterial SSU rRNA". It matches the Rfam family "Bacterial small subunit ribosomal RNA", at positions 28 to 425 of the family's 1533-position model. The record is from RNAcentral.
GACGAACGCUGGCGGCGUGCUUAACACAUGCAAGUCGAGCGGUAAGGCCCGUUUCGGGGGUACACGAGCGGCGAACGGGUGAGUAACACGUGGGUGACCUGCCCUUAGCUCUGGGAUAAGCCUGGGAAACUGGGUCUAAUACCGGAUAUGACUCCAUGACGCAUGUUGUGGGGUGGAAAGCCUUGUGCGGCUAGGGAUGGGCCCGCGGCCUAUCAGCUUGUUGGUGGGGUGAUGGCCUACCAAGGCGACGACGGGUAGCCGGCCUGAGAGGGCGACCGGCCACACUGGGACUGAGACACGGCCCAGACUCCUACGGGAGGCAGCAGUGGGGAAUCUUGCGCAAUGGGCGAAAGCCUGACGCAGCGACGCCGCGUGAGGGAUGACGGCCUUCGGUUA